AGUGAACGCUGGCGGUAGGCCUAACACAUGCAAGUCGAACGGCAGCACAGUAAGAGCUUGCUCUUACGGGUGGCGAGUGGCGGACGGGUGAGGAGUACAUCGGAAUCUACUUUUUCGUGGGGGAUAACGUAGGGAAACUUACGCUAAUAGCGCAUACGACCUACGGGUGAAAGCAGGGGAUCUUCGGACCUUGCGCGAUUGAAUGAGCCGAUGUCGGAUUAGCUAGUUGGCGGGGUAAAGGCCCACCAAGGCGACGAUCCGUAGCUGGUCUGAGAGGAUGAUCAGCCACACUGGAACUGAGACACGGUCCAGACUCCUACGGGAGGCAGCAGUGGGGAAUAUUGGACAAUGGGCGCAAGCCUGAUCCAGCCAUACCGCGUGGGUGAAGAAGGCCUUCGGGUUGUAAAGCCCUUUUGUUGGGAAAGAAAAGCAGCAGGUUAAUACCCCGCUGUUCUGACGGUACCCAAAGAAUAAGCACCGGCUAACUUCGUG
RNAcentral lists this ribosomal RNA (492 nucleotides) under uncultured bacterium. RNAcentral describes it as "partial 16S ribosomal RNA". It matches the Rfam family "Bacterial small subunit ribosomal RNA", at positions 29 to 507 of the family's 1533-position model. The record is from RNAcentral.